GGGUGGUGGGACAGGUUGCUGCAGUACCUCACUGAGGUCUCAGCUAUAUUCAAGAUCUCAUUACACACUGCCUCCUAGUAGUAGUAGUAGUAGUAGUAGUAGUAGUUAGGAGUAGUAGU
Long non-coding RNA from Etheostoma spectabile (orangethroat darter), 119 nucleotides. RefSeq lists it as uncharacterized. Lineage: Eukaryota; Metazoa; Chordata; Actinopteri; Perciformes; Percidae. The transcript is spliced from 3 exons. The record is from RefSeq and is a predicted model, not a curated record.